Long non-coding RNA from Mandrillus leucophaeus (drill), 1403 nucleotides. RefSeq lists it as uncharacterized. The record is from RefSeq and is a predicted model, not a curated record. The transcript has 3 exons. Lineage: Eukaryota; Metazoa; Chordata; Mammalia; Primates; Cercopithecidae.
GAGUCCGCAAAGCGUCUGAGAAGCAGCCCCGGCUCUGACCCGCCACCCCGCGGAAGCAGACCCUGGCCGGUGCACGGCCGUGGCGCCAGCGCGGAGCACCAGCGACCCCCUAGGAACGACGUUGCAGAUGAUGCUCUACCAAGAGUUGGAAGGACUCCUCAGGGAAUCCCACGAGGCUCUGCUUUUCCUAUGCCUCCUUUCCCUCGUUUACAAAAUAGGGAUAAGAAGGUUGGCUACUGCUUGGACAGCCCUCGCGAUGGAAGAGUAGCACUUCAUUUGAGGGUUAACAAAGGGCAACGCUGAAAUCUCCACUUCCACUAUUGAAUGGAACUCUGUGUCGUAAUAUCUGUUAGAGGCGUGCAAACUCGGCCACAAGGUCAUGGUCAUACGUUAUUGCUGGCCAAAAGCCGCAACCCUACCUGAGGCUUUGAGAAAUAUGAACACCAAUGACUUGUUUUCCUGACUCCCGAAAUACCAAGAAAAAGCAACUUCCCCAAAUGGACAGAAACAGAAAGUACCCUUGGUUGAACACAGAGGCCUGGUUCCAGCCAUCGUUAGAAGUGGGAAGGAACUCAGACCCCCUCUCCUACCUCAUCCCCCACCCCUCCCCAACACGUCACCCUUUCACAGAGAAGGAACCAGAGACACCAAGGACUGAGAGAGGACUUGAUAAGGAUUCUAGUGUCCUGUCUCCCCUGUCCGCACCUUUUCCACCACAAAAAUAUGGACAUUGGAGGAAGAGGAGAAGACUGAAGGUACACAUCGUGCAAAGGAAGAAAAUGGCAGAACUGUUCUGGAACCAGGAAUUCAGGAGCAAGAAUGACACAGUGUGUGCCAGAUGGAAAUGUUGGAUUAGGAGAGCACUUGGAAAGGUAAAUAAUCUGUCAGAGAAAUUAUGGGAUGCCUGGCUUCUGAAAAUGGAGGAAAACUGCAAAAGAGAGGCUCAUUGGUGCUUACUCCCAGGGCGCUGAGCAUCCCAGGAAGCUAACUUUCUCCCAUCCUACAUCCCCUCAGAAGUAGGCAUUCUCCUCUCCACCUGCAGCUGUGACCCAGAUAUGGAGCCGCAUGUUCUGCCACCCCGUCAACACUGAGUUCUGUCAGAUCUGAUCAGCACCUGACACCUAUCCAUCCUCCAUUUCCCACCUGCCCAAAGCUGCUUGAAAGACUCUGAAAGGUGGGAGCAUGCAGCAGUGAAACCUGAGUUCUUUCUGUUCAUGUGAGCUAAUCUUCCCGCUGGCUGGAAGACACUUCAUUUAUACAAACAGCGAUUACUAUAAAAGUGUAUUCAUGUUGUUCAUCACAUGAAUAGGACAUGGGAGAAAAGCUUUGUAAUUAUCCUGAUAAGAGGCCCCCUAAUGCAAAUUCUCUGUGGUUAGGAAUAAAAGGAGACUUUGUCAACAUGA